RNAcentral lists this ribosomal RNA (200 nucleotides) under uncultured bacterium. RNAcentral's name for it is "partial 16S ribosomal RNA". It matches the Rfam family "Bacterial small subunit ribosomal RNA", at positions 8 to 201 of the family's 1533-position model. The record is from RNAcentral.
AGAGUUUGAUCCUGGCUCAGGAUGAACGCUAGCGGCAGGCUUAAUACAUGCAAGUCGUGGGGCAGCAUGAGUAGCAAUACUUGAUGGCGACCGGCAAACGGGUGCGGAACACGUACACAACCUUCCUUCAAGCGGGGAAUAGCCCAGAGAAAUUUGGAUUAAUACCCCAUAACAUAUUUGAUAAGGCAUCUUAUUAAUAU